GACGUAGGGCGCAAGCGUUGUCCGGAUUUAUUGGGCGUAAAGAGCUCGUAGGCGGCUCGUUGCGUCGGCUGUGAAAACCCGAGGCUCAACCUCGGGCCUGCAGUCGAUACGGGCAAACUAGAGUACUGCAGGGGAGACUGGAAUUCCUGGUGUAGCGGUGAAAUGCGCAGAUAUCAGGAGGAACACCGGUGGCGAAGGCGGGUCUCUGGGCAGUAACUGACGCUGAGGAGCGAAAGCGUGGGGAGCAAACAGG
RNAcentral lists this ribosomal RNA (253 nucleotides) under uncultured bacterium. Its description in RNAcentral is "partial 16S ribosomal RNA". It matches the Rfam family "Bacterial small subunit ribosomal RNA", at positions 524 to 776 of the family's 1533-position model. The record is from RNAcentral.